Molecule: transfer RNA, 72 nt
Filed under: Aedes aegypti (yellow fever mosquito)
Lineage: Eukaryota; Metazoa; Arthropoda; Insecta; Diptera; Culicidae
Rfam family: tRNA
About the family: Transfer RNA (tRNA) molecules are approximately 80 nucleotides in length. Their secondary structure includes four short double-helical elements and three loops (D, anti-codon, and T loops).
Source: Rfam by way of RNAcentral
AGCUCGGUAGGUUAGCUGACAAAUCACUCGUCUAAUAUACAAGAGACGUGAGUUCAAAUCUCACCUGAGCAC